GCUGCCUUAGCUCAGUUGGCAGAGCACUUCCUUGGUAAGGAAGAGGUCGGCGGUUCGACUCCGCUAGGUAGCUCCA
This 76-nucleotide transfer RNA is filed under the name Clostridiales bacterium. RNAcentral's name for it is "tRNA-Thr". It matches the Rfam family "tRNA". From Rfam's summary of the family: Transfer RNA (tRNA) molecules are approximately 80 nucleotides in length. Their secondary structure includes four short double-helical elements and three loops (D, anti-codon, and T loops). Lineage: Bacteria; Bacillati; Bacillota; Clostridia; Eubacteriales. RNAcentral also lists the same sequence under 1 other name. The record is from RNAcentral.